UGGCUGAUAAAUUCAAAAAGAACAAUGGUCAUGCAGCAAUAACCAUAACCAUACAAACAAAAGCUUUAAUGAGCAUUACAAACAUACAAACAAAACCAUAUUUAUUUGGGAAACAACAGAACCUGCUACAUCAAUACAAACAUGGAAUCAGGGAAAACAUACAAACAAAACCAUGAAUACCAAUGGAAAACUAACCUGUAAUGCUCAAAUCUGGGACGACUGCG
This 224-nucleotide long non-coding RNA is filed under the name Gossypium raimondii (Peruvian cotton). Its description in RNAcentral is "long non-coding RNA (GRAI_LNC008797)". The record is from RNAcentral. Lineage: Eukaryota; Viridiplantae; Streptophyta; Magnoliopsida; Malvales; Malvaceae.